GUUUAUUUCUCUGGGAGUUGCAGGCUUUUGUGUUCUCAGGGCUUGGCAAGGGCCUGGGUCUAUUCUCCAAGUGGAAAUGAAGAGCUGCAGAUUUAUCUGGGCUCCAUGGCUAUCUUCCUUGCAUUCCUUAUUCCCCAGCUGGGUGUCCCAGAGACAUUAAUAAGGGGAAUUGUUUGCUUUUCUUUCUUUUCUUUUCUUUUUUUUUCUUUAAAAAAAAAAAAAACAUAUUGAAGAAACAGAACGAAGCACAAAGCCAAGAGGAGUCAGUCAUCCCUCUGCCUUAAAGUUUAUAGGGGCAAAAAAUCCUAUUGUGGGGAACGUGUGAGAAGCACACCCACAUUAAUGAGUUUGCAUGGCACUUCCACUUAACACACAAACCUCUCAGGCUCAGAAAGUUUAAAGCACUUCUCCAAACUCUUGAAGAAAGUCAGUACUAUAAUUGGGAUUAAAAGCGAUGUGCUCUUUCUCUCAACUCAAGCCUCCACCCUGUAAGGCAGGGAAGACUUAGGGCAGAGGAAGAUGGAGGCUGUGUGGCUCCGUAGGGCUGGGCACGCACCCGGGGCAGGUCUGGACAGAGCCUGGAGCUUGUGGUUAUUCUCUUCAGAGCCUGCACUUGACUCGCUGGGGACUCCGGACAGUCCCUCCUUGCUUUCUGUUUUAAUCUGUUCUACUGGAAGUUGGGCUUUUCAGAAGUGUUACCGUGAAGGUAACAGGGCAGAUUUGGGGUGGCAAUGGGGGGCUGGGUCUGUUUUGGUAUGUCUAGGCUCUCCAGGCCAGCUCCAUGCUGCAUGCCCAGCACUGAAAGCAGGAUCUGAAAACCAGUGGAUGCAUCAUCAGGGGCAGCUCUCAUAUUCUGUGAUGCAGUGGGCUAAGAACCACCUGACUUGGGUGAGUGAGUAUUUGUUGAAUGGUGGCUGUUGAAUGACCAUUGGUGUGUCCUGAAGUCAGAUUUCCUGAAGGAGGUGGCCUUUCAGCCGGGUCCCUUGGACUGGGGAGAAGAAAGGAAAGAGCAACUCAACCUGGACUUUGUCCAGAAACCUGGGCUGACCUCCAGGCUGGGCUUUCGGAAGCUUGUGUCCAUGUGCCCUCCUCCAUUCCCAAGAUUCCUUGCUGAUGGAACCUAUAGCAUCAUGGGCUGAGCAUGUCGGUUCUCUGCCCAGCUAGAUGGGCAUUGCUGGCAGUAGGUCCCCUGUCUAAUCCUCUCUGUGCCCAAUGCCCAGCCGGGAGCUGGCACAGAGUCGGUGCCCUGUGAUUUCUCAUGGA
Molecule: long non-coding RNA, 1263 nt
Filed under: Rhinopithecus bieti (black snub-nosed monkey)
Lineage: Eukaryota; Metazoa; Chordata; Mammalia; Primates; Cercopithecidae
Description: lncRNA (ENSRBIG00000045287.1)
Source: RNAcentral